GGGGGUAUAGGUCAGUGGUAGAGCGCAUGCUUAGCAUGCACAAGGUCCCAGGUUCAACCCCCAGUGCCUCCA
Transfer RNA from Camelus ferus (Wild Bactrian camel), 72 nucleotides. It matches the Rfam family "tRNA". From Rfam's summary of the family: Transfer RNA (tRNA) molecules are approximately 80 nucleotides in length. Their secondary structure includes four short double-helical elements and three loops (D, anti-codon, and T loops). Further hydrogen bonds mediate the characteristic L-shaped molecular structure. tRNAs have two regions of fundamental functional importance: the anti-codon, which is responsible for specific mRNA codon recognition, and the 3' end, to which the tRNAs corresponding amino acid is attached (by aminoacyl-tRNA synthetases). tRNAs cope with the degeneracy of the genetic code in two manners: having more than one tRNA (with a specific anti-codon) for a particular amino acid; and 'wobble' base-pairing, i.e. permitting non-standard base-pairing at the 3rd anti-codon position. Lineage: Eukaryota; Metazoa; Chordata; Mammalia; Artiodactyla; Camelidae. The record is from Rfam.